This 253-nucleotide ribosomal RNA is filed under the name uncultured bacterium. RNAcentral describes it as "partial 16S ribosomal RNA". It matches the Rfam family "Bacterial small subunit ribosomal RNA", at positions 524 to 776 of the family's 1533-position model. The record is from RNAcentral.
UACGUAGGGCGCAAGCGUUGUCCGGAAUUAUUGGGCGUAAAGAGCUCGUAGGCGGCCUGUCGCGUCUGUUGUGAAAACUCGAGGCUCAACCUCGGGCUUGCAGUGGAUACGGGCAGACUAGAGUUCGGUAGGGGAGUCUGGAAUUCCUGGUGUAGCGGUGAAAUGCGCAGAUAUCAGGAGGAACACCGGUGGCGAAGGCGGGACUCUGGGCCGAUACUGACGCUGAGGUGCGAAAGCGUGGGGAGCAAACAGG